CCUACGGGUGGCAGCAGUGAGGAAUAUUGGUCAAUGGACGAGAGUCUGAACCAGCCAAGUAGCGUGAAGGAUAACUGCCCUAUGGGUUGUAAACUUCUUUUAUAAAGGAAUAAAACGAGGCACGUGUGCCUUUUUGCAUGUACUUUAUGAAUAAGGAUCGGCUAACUCCGUGCCAGCAGCCGCGGUAAUACGGAGGAUCCGAGCGUUAUCCGGAUUUAUGGGGUUUAAAGGGAGCGUAGAGGGGUUGUUAAGUCAGUUGUGAAAGUUUGCGGCUCAACCGUAAAAUUUCAAUUGUUACUGGCAGUCUUUCGUACAGUUGCGGUAAUCCGCAUUCGUGGUGUAGCGG
This 346-nucleotide ribosomal RNA is filed under the name uncultured bacterium. RNAcentral describes it as "partial 16S ribosomal RNA". It matches the Rfam family "Bacterial small subunit ribosomal RNA", at positions 338 to 681 of the family's 1533-position model. The record is from RNAcentral.